Etheostoma spectabile (orangethroat darter) is the source of this 421-nucleotide long non-coding RNA. RefSeq lists it as uncharacterized. The record is from RefSeq and is a predicted model, not a curated record. NCBI's taxonomy places the organism in Eukaryota, Metazoa, Chordata, Actinopteri, Perciformes, Percidae. The transcript is spliced from 3 exons.
ACACUUUGGAAAUGGUAAAAUGUAUUCUUUCAUUAGAGACACUGCAGACAGUAACGUCCACCACUAGACUUCCCCUUCUCAACAACACGUUAUUAUUAGCUGCAGAAAUGCAAAAACCCACUAAUCCGAAGCAGAAGUCCAGUGUAGAGGACCACAGCUGAGCAGACGCCCCCCUAACAGCCCUCAUACAGGACUGCAGCAGGACUUCAAACAUCUGGUCAGGAUGAAGAGGAAUCCACAGGAAGAAAUUGAGGAAAUGGAAGAAGAAGAUAACUAUGUUAAUGCUCCGGCCUGGACUGUGGAUGAAGUGGCAGCCCCACCAGACCAGAGGUCUCUCUUCUUCUCUCGGUCUUCUCCACUGAUAGCAGUGUGUUGGCUGAUACUGUUAGUCAUCAUGGGCCUUCGGAUCUACUGUGAGUAC